This 1944-nucleotide long non-coding RNA is filed under the name Marmota monax (woodchuck). Lineage: Eukaryota; Metazoa; Chordata; Mammalia; Rodentia; Sciuridae. The record is from RNAcentral.
CUCCAGCCCAAGCCGCUGAAACCACCUCCCUCACCCCAGCCUGAGGCCCCGGUCCUUCUGGUAGGAACAAUACCCCAUUAGCCUGCUGCAGGCCACGAGUCCCAGUGGCCUACGCCAAGGCGGUUGAAACGCUCUUGAGGGAUCCACCCUUAACCAAGCACAGGGCCAGCCUCCUGCAGAGAGCCCUCUUCAGCACCCUAGUGGAAGCCAGUACCCUCCCGGUCCCCCCAGGAAGCACAGCGUGCUGUUGUGGGUUGAACUGGGUCCCCAAAUAUUGUGGUGACGUCCCAGCCUCCAGACCCUGCAAAGGUGUCCUCACCUGGAAAUCAGGUCUUUGCAGGUGAAGUCCUGUUAGGCUGAGACGCCCACCAGAGAGGACGGGCCUCCCUCCAGCAUGACCGCGGUCCUCGGGAGAGGAGGACACGAGACACGGGGCAGGCGCACAGGGAGAGGCUACGUGCAGGUGUGGACAGAGUGGAGGCCAGCCUCCACCAGCCACACAGCGCGAGGACUGCUCCAAGCCGCCUGCAGGCCCCGAGACUGGAGCAGGGGUCCUCGGAGCUCCGGAGGCUCCACCUGCCCACACCUGGAGUUGGACUUCUGACCCAGAACCAGGAGGGAAAUAUUUCCAUCGUUUCAUGCACCAGUUGGGGGUGCUUUGUCAGGAACCCCCUCACCGGGAGGCCACCGGGUCUGAUCCCAGCCCUGCUGUGCUCAGGUGCCUGACUAAACACCUCCCGAGCCCGUCUGCAGAGACGCUCAGGGAUGAGGCAAGUCUUAACACGCGGCACCUGAACCAGGUUGGGCAAGUCAGCCGUGAAAGACGGGAAAUAAAUUACAUGAACCCGGAAGGACUCUAACUCAGAUGGUUUAUGUAUGACUUCAACUUUCCAAUCCACCUCCAAGAAACCAGACCAGAAAUCCAAGACUAAGUGAUAAAGGUGUGGUUUACGAGGGGAGUCAGCAUGUAAGAGCAGGGCCUGGGGUCUGACAGAAGGGUUUGUCCCUCACUCUACAGUGACAAAGUAACAUGACACUACGUGUUUCAUCUUAAAAUGAAAACAUUUAUGGACCUGGGUCACGUCAUGGUAUGGAUACGAGGGGCCCCCGACAGCUCAUGUGUGAGACGUGCGAACGCGGUCAGAGAUUAAAUGACCAGAUCACAAGAACUGACCCCAUCAGUGGGUGAUCCCCUGGGUGGAGGUCCAGGUGGUGACUGUUGACAGGCAGGGUGGGACUGGGGGUGGGUCACUGGGGGGUGACAUUGGGGUUUACAUUUUGUCCCUGCUGCCUGGUGCCAGGUUCUGAGCUGCUUUCCCGCACCCUGCCCUCCACCAGCUUCAUCUUGGGCCCAGGCCACGGGGGGCCCUGCCAUCGACGGAGCCUCUGAAACCCCAGGUUUCAGACCUCUCCUCCUCUAAGUUGUUUUCUCGGGUCUCGUGGACCCAGUGGCGGAAAGCAGCCAACAUCUACAGCCACUUCGUGGUUCCCAUGUUCCCAGCGUCCACUUAGCUGGUGAGGCCUGGCAGGGGUCCGCGGCUCCUCCCUCUUCCCCGAAGGCUGGCCGCGCUUUGAGCGAACAGAAGAGCAGGGAGCACCUCAGAGCUUCGGGUCUGUGUUCGGCCAUCGUCCACCCCCCUCACCCGCCCUCCAGUCCCACGUCCUCCGACCGGCCGUUGGUCUGCUGUUUGGCUGGAUCCUAGGCACUCUUCAGAAGGGUCCGGGAAUCCGUGGAGUUCCAGAAGAUCCCACAGGUCCUGUCUCUGAUUCUCGUUCAACCGGAGGAAUGCGUUCUAACCAUCCCAGACUGAAAGUCUGGCCAGAGUCGGGGCUAGAACCCGGGCACCUCGCUGUAGUGCCCUCCUGCCUGUGGGUCAGGUCCUCCCUGCCACCCCUAGUCAGCUGCUCUGUCCUUGGUCUCAUGGCCACCAGCCAGGCCAGGCG